Molecule: transfer RNA, 82 nt
Filed under: Myxococcota bacterium
Lineage: Bacteria; Pseudomonadati; Myxococcota
Description: tRNA-Tyr
Rfam family: tRNA
About the family: Transfer RNA (tRNA) molecules are approximately 80 nucleotides in length. Their secondary structure includes four short double-helical elements and three loops (D, anti-codon, and T loops). Further hydrogen bonds mediate the characteristic L-shaped molecular structure. tRNAs have two regions of fundamental functional importance: the anti-codon, which is responsible for specific mRNA codon recognition, and the 3' end, to which the tRNAs corresponding amino acid is attached (by aminoacyl-tRNA synthetases). tRNAs cope with the degeneracy of the genetic code in two manners: having more than one tRNA (with a specific anti-codon) for a particular amino acid; and 'wobble' base-pairing, i.e. permitting non-standard base-pairing at the 3rd anti-codon position.
Source: RNAcentral
GGUGGGGUUCCCGAGUGGCCAAAGGGAGCAGACUGUAAAUCUGCCGUCGGUGACUUCGGUGGUUCGAAUCCACCCCCCACCA